AUGGGGUCAAAAUGGGGGAAAAUGGUAAACGAGUGGAAAAAACAAAAAACAAAGGAUAACAGGGACCACAUCUUGCUAAAAAUAAGCUUGAAUUCAAACACAGCCAUCCCAGGCUGCGCCGAGCGUAAAUAUUUUUCUUUCUUUGGCAUAACAUCCCCCCCCCGUUUCUCUGCGACCCUCCUGCAGCGGAGUCCCAAGAACAGGGGUUUUGGGCCCAAAAUCAGUUUUCCUACAUCGCCAACCACGGUGCUUCCCCUCCCCGAAACCUCCCGCGGUGGGGCCCGAGGGGCUCUGCGGCCCCCGUUCCUGCGGCGUGCGCACGUAGCGGGGAGCGAGCCCGGCCAAGAGGCGCGGGACUGUUUGUGCAGAAACUUUCUGGACAGGCUGUUCCCGGCCUGCCGGGACCCCCCCGCCUCCUUCCCUCCCCGCCGGAGAUUAGAUUCGCUCCAUCACGCUGCUCCGCUGCGCUGGAGGGGCCGGGCCCGGGGGAAGGCGAUGCAAGGGGCUCGGCGAGUGCCUCGGCGCACGUCCACGGCGGGCGGUGGGCACGGAUUUCUGCCCCGAGGGGGGCUGCGGCUACCCCUGUCCUUGCCAAGGUCCCAAAAAGUUGGGUUUAGGCGGAUUUAUGCUUUAUUUCUGCAUGCAGGAGGGGGGGGGGGGGGGGGGGGAAGGGCCGUGAGUGCCAAAAAUCUGCUUGGGGACAUGCGAGUGAAACAUGGGCGUGCUGAGAGGGGGGCACGGAGCAUCCCCAGCCCCUCUGUCCAUGCGUACACCCAAAAUGCGACCCACGCAGCCUGGCCACGGUGGGUGCUCGCACCCCACGGCCAAGCCCCCCGUGCCAGGGCCGCACGCACGGCGUUGGGGUUUUGUCCCGGCGCGUGCCUUGGCUCCGGCGCGAGGCCCGGGGAGGGAGGCGGGCGCGGGGCUGCGCCGGUACAUGGCGUUCUGCCGCCGGCACCCACAGGAAAACCAGCGAGCAGCCCUGAACGAGGCUCUUUGUUCGUGNUUUCCCUUUCCACUCCCCUCCCCGCCUCAACUUUUUGCUCCCUUCCCCCUCCGCUCCCAGCUGCGGCCAAGCCUCAAAAUAAUUUCAGAGCAGCUCGAGACCCCCCCCCCCAGCUUUGGGCAGGGUGCUACAAAACCCCGGAGAGGUUUGGUCGUCCCCAAGCCUGCCCCACAGAUGCACAAAGCAGAAAUGGGGCUCUCCAGGAGUUUCCAAACCUGUGUUUGGAGCAGAGGGAGCUCUGCAGCAAGCCCUCCGGUUCUCUCGCUGCCUUACAUAAAGUGUUUACCGAGCGGGAGGAGGGACGGACCGACAACAUGUUUUUGCGUUUGUCAUACUGUACACGAUGA
RNAcentral lists this long non-coding RNA (1353 nucleotides) under Anser brachyrhynchus (Pink-footed goose). RNAcentral describes it as "lncRNA (ENSABRG00000021994.1)". The record is from RNAcentral. Lineage: Eukaryota; Metazoa; Chordata; Aves; Anseriformes; Anatidae.